AUCUCAUCUACUGAAAGGGUCAAACCAUAUCCAAUACUCCUACAUACAGAAUCGUCUACCUCUAUCUAUCUGUGACAAUAGAAAGUUUGGUUUGGGUUUUUUCGAUUCUUUCACUCUUCGUAUUAGUGGGUUGAGUUUCUCAAACUAAAUAUUUUUUCCUUGAGUUUUACAAUGUCCUUGUGUGUAUUUUGUCUUUGGUGAUUUUCUAUUGUUUGUUUACUCUUUUCCAUUUUAUUAUAUCUGCCUUUUCUAAUGUACUCAAAUUUGUUCAUUUGUUUUGUUUAUUUAUCCUUUAGGGCUUUUCUGCACAUGAAUCAUGAUAGACGAAAUAGAUUCAAAAAGCUUGAAAAUGGAGGAAGAGAAGAUUUUCGAGUUCCGCUAAAUUUUCCUCCAUUCUUUCUUGGUGAGCAGUAAACCUUUUCUUCUAUUUUUUUUAUAGAAUAUUGAUUUAGAAUUUUCAUUUUUCUAUAAAGUUAUUUUUUAAUUUGUGCUUUAUUUUUCUUCUUAAUUCAUUAUAAGAUUUUGAAUUGUUGAUUUACAUGUAAUGUUCCUCUUUUUAUCAAAAUUGUUUUGGGUGGAUUCUGUGUGUCCAUGUGGUUAUUUUGUUCAAAAUCUUCUAUGAUUUUUUUUUUUCUCAGGUAAACAAACUGUAACAACGCUAAGCACAUUGAAUUUCCUCUGGACAAAAAAUUCUACUUAAAGGGAAGAACAACUAAGGUGCUUGACGAUAUGCCUGAAAUAACUAAACAAUUUCAUAUUCCAUAUUUCUUUUUCUGUAGGUGAUUUAUGAUAUAAACAUCUAUCCUUAGAACACAAAUAUAGGACAUUUGAAAAAUGUUUUGGUAACUAUACAUAUGACACUGAAAAUGCAGCAUACCCUUUAAAUGGGAUGUCUUUUCAAAUUCAUUUGUAUAUGAAAAAGCAAAGCUUUUCGAGAGAAGGGAAUGAAUGUGGAUAAUUCUUUCAUGGUGCCCUACAUUUUGACAAUGCUGCAUUACUAAUGUCGUUUCAUCGGGAAUUCAUCAUUAAUUGAAAUCUUUCAUUCUAUCUCUCUGUCUGGAGAUCUAUUUAAACACGAAGGAAAUAGAUAAUUAAUUUCAUUAAUUCUCUCUUCGUCUCAUUUGACGACCAGGUCAGUAGAAAUCUGUAUCAAUACAAUCCUUCUUAUGUGUUUGUCAACCCAUUGAUGAUUAGAUGCAGUACUUGUGAUAUCUGUGGUAUAUGAGCUUCUUGCCUCUCUAUUUCCAUUGCACAAUUAAAAUAUGAUAUUUCCGUUUUGGUUGUUCUUUAUGUUAUGUGGCUUCUGAAACUAAGUAGUUUUAUUAUUUAUUGUUAGUGUAGGAGAUGGAUUCAUUCACUGACUCGCCCUGCGAUUUAUGAGGUACUACUGUAUUCUGUUGUCUUUUAGAUGCAUGAUCUGCAUGAUAGUAAACUGCAUGCAGCUCAUAUUAAGAGGGAAGAGAAUGAAUUUUUGCUUCAUCAAUAAACUAAGAAUUUUUUCAGGUUACCCUUAUUUUGAUAGCGAUGGUCAAGAUAUUUCAUUUACUGAAAUUCAUAUACUUAUAGUGUAUAUAAUAAAAGGAGUGGACGAUAUAUAUAUUGGUUUUGGGCACAUUGAUGUAUUGUUCAUGAGGAAAAUGACUGCAAGAAGAUAGCAACAUAACAUGAGUGAACUUCUUUAGACGAAUAAUUUUCUUUUUAUAUUUAUGUAAUAAUGUGCUCUACUUUUCUCUGUAGUCUCAACCAACUAAGAUUCCUUAAGGCACCAUAUGUCUCGUUCAUAUUUGUCUGUUAAGUAUUAGUAUAAUUUCGUCACAACAAGUUCCUGCAUGGAUUGUUUGUGGGCUAACAGUAUUUUGUUUGGGAUGUAAUUACAAAGUCUGCCGAUAUGUUUAUACUUCUUGCCUUUCCAACAAAGUUGAUAAAACCUUUACAAUGUUAGUCAUAUUUGGUGCAUGUUAUGAUGUCGGAGGUUAGUUCUUAUGACGAUACCAAUCUACCAAUAAAAGGAUAAGUGAUGUGAAUAGGAGUUGAGCUUUGUGUAAAUACCAAUUUUCAUCAUUUCCAUCCAUUAUAGAACAUUGAAAAUUCUUAUGUGCUAAUCAUAGGGGACGUUUUGAGUAGAGUCGUCCUUUCAGAAGCACCUUGAGCGAUAUUUAGGAACUUGUAAAACUUUAAAUAUUUUCACCAAUAAAAAAACUUUAAAUGUUAAAAUAACAAGGUACUUUAAUUUUAAUUAUGUGAUUUGAUAGAAAAUUAGUUGUGACAUUCAAGUGGGCUAUAUGAAGACCUUGAUGGGUUGGACUUAUCCUUCGAUGGGUAAUACGUAAGACUCAACAUAAUAAUUUUAACAUCUUGCUGAAAGGAUUGGGCUGGGGCGUCUUAUUCCUUGACAAUUAGCUCAAAUUAAGGUGGCAGAAACUUGAUGAAUGGUCCUAUUUGAUUGUAUUUUGGUCUACAUAACAAUGUUGUUUUGAAGGUUCUCCUGAAAUCUAAGUUUUCUUUAAACUAACGCAGAAAAGAGUAAAAGUUAGUUUCCCUUUCCUAUGUUAUUAUACUUAUCUAAUGCAGUAAUUAGGUAACUGUUCUUUACUGCUAAUGUUGAUUAUUAGUCGAAACCCAAUUUUCUCACUCAUCCACUGAAGCUACUAAAAUAAUUUUAACGUCUUUUAGGAGACAAAUGGGUUAAAAUUAGAGGCUCCUAUAGGCACGCUCUAGGACAAGUAUAGUUCUAGUAGUAUGAAACUUUAUUUUCCUUUCUCUUCCUCCAUUUUGUUGAUCAACUGUUUUGCACUAGCCAAACUCCAAAGCAAACAUUAGGUUGCAAGAAGUUUAAAAAUAAGUAGCCAAAACCUUUUAUGCAUUUUCUAAUCAAGGCAUAUACCUAGACACGGUGUACGACAUAUAUUAAACAUGCCAUGUGAAGUUUAAUGAGGUCAUUUGUUCUGCCUGCAGAUACCUAGAACUUAAUGUAACAGUUAUUCACUAGGAGGCUUUUCCAUGAAAGUUUCUCAAACUAUUGCUACAAUUCUGAUGUCAAUAAUAGUCAGCAUUGAUAUUUUCAUAGUAUGGAUACAACUCUAAACGUCAAUAACAUUGAGUUUUAAUGCAUCUAUCUCUUCAACAAGAAUUACCUGCAAGUUCAAGGAACUAAAGAAGAUCAUACCAUGUUUAGUAAAAUACUGAAGGAUACCACGUGAAUUCCCAUAUCUUGGGCAGCUACCUCCCCUCCUCAGUUGUUGUCUUUCCUUUAUCAGGUAUUGCUGAACUACUAAUCUUUAUAUGCUUGUGAAAAGUUAAAGUCUAAACUUUGUAAGAUGUACUCUGAAUCUAGGCCAACUCUAACGUGGUUCACACUUUCCUGAAAUAAGGCAGUCAAUUAAAAGUUUUUUGUGAGAUGAACUAAAAUAUGCACGGGAUAACUUCUACUUCAAGAGUGCACAACGCCACUAUUGAUGGACAUACGUAAUGCGGAUGCAAAUCUUACAGCGCUCAUAAUUUUCUACAAUUAUAUUCUACUGAAAGUGCAUAACUUAAACAGCAACACAUCCAAAUAAUAUUGUCCCAAUAACUUUCUCUGAUCACAUUGUUCGGCACAUGCUAAAGCACGGGCAAAAAUAUCUAGUUCAAUAACAUAUAGCAACUUUUAGGUACUUAAUCGAUGUGUAAUAUGUUGGGGCUAAACGGCUCACAUAUAUUUUUAGCAUGGUGUCAUAUUGUCUAUUUAGGGUUAAGCCUAUACGAUUUUCUCUAAAAAGGAUCCACACCAAUAAAAGAUUCUCACACCUUAUAAUAUGUAUGCUCCCAAGUCCCAAUCUUUUCAGCUACUGAUGAUAGGUAAUAAUUACGUAUUUUAGUCGCUUAUUAUAUUCUAAUUUACUAUGUUUUAAUUGAGUUUGACCUUCACUCGCUAGUGUUUUGCACUAAUUACAUUUUUUAUGCCUUGUAGGAGUGAUUCCGAGCUAUGUAGACAUUAUGGAAUGAAUUCGAGCUAUUUGGAGAUUUGAAGUCUGAGUAAAAGCCCAAGGGAUUAAGCCGGGAUCGUGUUUGGGGGUCAAGUAUCAAUUCCGGACGUCAAAAUUCAAGGAAGAAGCAACUGCUGAAGAAAUGCACUAGUGCGAGGCGCUGUACGACGCACUGUGUCGCACAGUGCGAGGCAUUAGUGUAAUUUUAUGUCAGAAAUUUCCAAAGUUCAGAAACUGAGUUUUUUUGGUCUGACAGGAAAAAGCACUAGUGCGACGCACAGGGCGACACAUGAAAAGCAAUAAGUUUGCAAGCUUUUCUAUUUCGGCUAGAAAAAGGAGAUUUCGUCUUGGCCCAACACUACUUGGUAUAAAUACAUAUAAAAAUGUUAUUUUGAGGACUUUUGACAUACUUUAGACCUAGGGAGAGCACGAAGCCUCCGUGGAGGCCGGAAUUCAUCUGAUUCUAUCUUUCUUCCAUCAAACUUAGUAAUCUUUACGUUUCUUUGGAUGACUUGUUAUUUUGCUACCAUGACUAUGUGGAGGUAAACUUCGUGUUCUAGGGUUGUGGUUGUCAUGAAUAUUGAAGUUUAUUAAUUAUAUUACCGUUAAUUCGAGUUAUCAUCUUUGGU
This 4594-nucleotide long non-coding RNA is filed under the name Nicotiana tabacum (common tobacco). Its description in RNAcentral is "long non-coding RNA (NTAB_LNC002442)". The record is from RNAcentral. Lineage: Eukaryota; Viridiplantae; Streptophyta; Magnoliopsida; Solanales; Solanaceae.